UCAGCUUGGUAAGGAUACCCCCUGAAUUUAAGCAUAUAAUUAAGGGGAGGAAAAGAAACUAACAAGGAUUCCUUUAGUAACGGCGAGUGAAACAGGAUGAGCUCACCUAUAAUCGGCAAUUUUUUGCCGAGUUGUGGUCUGUAGAAGCAUUGUCGGUCGAGGUUCCGGGCUAAGUCUCUUGGAAAAGAGCAGCUGAGAGGGUGACACUCCCGUUCUUGCCUGGGAUCUGCGAUCAUAGCACAUGCCUUCAACGAGUCGAGUUGCUUGGGAUUGCAGCUCAAAUGCGUGGUAUACUCCAUGUAAAGCUAAAUAUAGGUAGGAAACCGAUAGCGCACAAGUACUGUGAAGGAAAGAUGCAAAGAACUUUGAAAAGAGAGUUAAAGAGUGCUUGAAAUCGGCAAGAGGAAACCCGUUUGCGC
RNAcentral lists this ribosomal RNA (419 nucleotides) under Amphidinium carterae. RNAcentral's name for it is "partial Eukaryotic large subunit ribosomal RNA". It matches the Rfam family "Eukaryotic large subunit ribosomal RNA", at positions 1 to 429 of the family's 3401-position model. The record is from RNAcentral. Lineage: Eukaryota; Dinophyceae; Amphidiniales; Amphidiniaceae.